This 1949-nucleotide ribosomal RNA is filed under the name human gut metagenome. RNAcentral's name for it is "bacterial LSU rRNA". It matches the Rfam family "Bacterial large subunit ribosomal RNA", at positions 1 to 1977 of the family's 2925-position model. The record is from RNAcentral.
UUAAGCGACUAAGCGUACACGGUGGAUGCCCUGGCAGUCAGAGGCGAUGAAGGACGUGCUAAUCUGCGAUAAGCGUCGGUGAGGUGAUAUGAACCGUUAUAACCGGCGAUUUCCGAAUGGGGAAACCCAGUGUGUUUCGACACACUAUCAUUAACUGAAUCCAUAGGUUAAUGAGGCGAACCGGGGGAACUGAAACAUCUAAGUACCCCGAGGAAAAGAAAUCAACCGAGAUUCCCCCAGUAGCGGCGAGCGAACGGGGAGGAGCCCAGAGCCUGAAUCAGUGUGUGUGUUAGUGGAAGCGUCUGGAAAGGCGCGCGAUACAGGGUGACAGCCCCGUACACAAAAAUGCACAUAUUGUGAGCUCGAUGAGUAGGGCGGGACACGUGGUAUCCUGUCUGAAUAUGGGGGGACCAUCCUCCAAGGCUAAAUACUCCUGACUGACCGAUAGUGAACCAGUACCGUGAGGGAAAGGCGAAAAGAACCCCGGCGAGGGGAGUGAAAAAGAACCUGAAACCGUGUACGUACAAGCAGUGGGAGCCUCUUUAUGGGGUGACUGCGUACCUUUUGUAUAAUGGGUCAGCGACUUAUAUUCUGUAGCAAGGUUAACCGAAUAGGGGAGCCGAAGGGAAACCGAGUCUUAACUGGGCGUUAAGUUGCAGGGUAUAGACCCGAAACCCGGUGAUCUAGCCAUGGGCAGGUUGAAGGUUGGGUAACACUAACUGGAGGACCGAACCGACUAAUGUUGAAAAAUUAGCGGAUGACUUGUGGCUGGGGGUGAAAGGCCAAUCAAACCGGGAGAUAGCUGGUUCUCCCCGAAAGCUAUUUAGGUAGCGCCUCGUGAAUUCAUCUCCGGGGGUAGAGCACUGUUUCGGCAAGGGGGUCAUCCCGACUUACCAACCCGAUGCAAACUGCGAAUACCGGAGAAUGUUAUCACGGGAGACACACGGCGGGUGCUAACGUCCGUCGUGAAGAGGGAAACAACCCAGACCGCCAGCUAAGGUCCCAAAGUCAUGGUUAAGUGGGAAACGAUGUGGGAAGGCCCAGACAGCCAGGAUGUUGGCUUAGAAGCAGCCAUCAUUUAAAGAAAGCGUAAUAGCUCACUGGUCGAGUCGGCCUGCGCGGAAGAUGUAACGGGGCUAAACCAUGCACCGAAGCUGCGGCAGCGACACUAUGUGUUGUUGGGUAGGGGAGCGUUCUGUAAGCCUGCGAAGGUGUACUGUGAGGUAUGCUGGAGGUAUCAGAAGUGCGAAUGCUGACAUAAGUAACGAUAAAGCGGGUGAAAAGCCCGCUCGCCGGAAGACCAAGGGUUCCUGUCCAACGUUAAUCGGGGCAGGGUGAGUCGACCCCUAAGGCGAGGCCGAAAGGCGUAGUCGAUGGGAAACAGGUUAAUAUUCCUGUACUUGGUGUUACUGCGAAGGGGGGACGGAGAAGGCUAUGUUGGCCGGGCGACGGUUGUCCCGGUUUAAGCGUGUAGGCUGGUUUUCCAGGCAAAUCCGGAAAAUCAAGGCUGAGGCGUGAUGACGAGGCACUACGGUGCUGAAGCAACAAAUGCCCUGCUUCCAGGAAAAGCCUCUAAGCAUCAGGUAACAUCAAAUCGUACCCCAAACCGACACAGGUGGUCAGGUAGAGAAUACCAAGGCGCUUGAGAGAACUCGGGUGAAGGAACUAGGCAAAAUGGUGCCGUAACUUCGGGAGAAGGCACGCUGAUAUGUAGGUGAAGCGACUAGCUCGUGGAGCUGAAAUCAGUCGAAGAUACCAGCUGGCUGCAACUGUUUAUUAAAAACACAGCACUGUGCAAACACGAAAGUGGACGUAUACGGUGUGACGCCUGCCCGGUGCCGGAAGGUUAAUUGAUGGGGUUAGCGGUAACGCGAAGCUCUUGAUCGAAGCCCCGGUAAACGGCGGCCGUAACUAUAACGGUCCUAAGGUAGCGAAAUUCCUUGUCGGGU